GCCAGUCCGCCCAUUUGCGGCCGGUCGGUGCACGACGAUUUUAGCAUCGGAGACUCCAGCAGAGUCUUCAAGUGGCAGCAACCUUUAUCAGGGCGUCCUGCUCCCUGCCUUUGAAUGAAUGGAGGCCACUGGUGCUCAAAUACUCGGCAAAAUCAGCCCAGAAAGUCUGGCAGCUCGCAGCGAGUCACUCGUAAUCGGCAGGCGAUGCCAGGCCGCCUCCUGUGCAUGCAAUUCCGCUGAAGACUGUUGUAGCCUCGUCAAGCACCAGCACAGUCAAGCACAGUCUUCAGUGGCACCAUCCUUCUGCAGGGCGUCCUGCACACUGCCCUUCAAUGAGAGGAGGCACCUGGUGCCCAUUCACUCCAUAAAGUCCCGACUAGAAAGCCUGGAAGCUCGGAACGAGUCGCUCGCCAUUUGUUGGAGAGGCCAGUCCACCCAUUUGCGGCCGGUCGGUGCACGACGAUUUUAGCAUCGGAGACUCCAGCAGAGUCUUCAAGUGGCGGCAACCUUUAUCAGGGCGUCCUGCUCCGUGCCCUUGAAUGACUGGAGGCCACUGGUGCUUAAAUACUCUGCAAAAUCAGCCCAGAAAGUCUGGCAGCUCGCAGCGAGUCACUCGUAAUCGGCAGGCGAUGCCAGGCCGCCUCCUGUGCAUGCAAUUCCGCUGAAGACUGUUGUAGCCUCGUCAAGCACCAGCACAGUCAAGCACAGUCUUCAGUGGCACCAUCCUUCUGCAGGGCGUCCUGCACACUGCCCUUCAAUGAGAGGAGGCACCUGGUGCCCAUUCACUCCAUAAAGUCCCGACUAGAAAGCCUGGAAGCUCGGAACGAGUCGCUCGCCAUUUGUUGGAGAGGCCAGUCCACCCAUUUGCGGCCGGUCGGUGCACGACGAUUUUAGCAUCGGAGACUCCAGCAGAGUCUUCAAGUGGCGGCAACCUUUAUCAGGGCGUCCUGCUCCGUGCCCUUGAAUGACUGGAGGCCACUGGUGCUUAAAUACUCUGCAAAAUCAGCUCAGAAAGU
Neocloeon triangulifer is the source of this 1016-nucleotide long non-coding RNA. RefSeq lists it as uncharacterized. The record is from RefSeq and is a predicted model, not a curated record. The transcript is spliced from 5 exons. NCBI's taxonomy places the organism in Eukaryota, Metazoa, Arthropoda, Insecta, Ephemeroptera, Baetidae.